Molecule: small nucleolar RNA, 135 nt
Organism: Gadus morhua (Atlantic cod)
Lineage: Eukaryota; Metazoa; Chordata; Actinopteri; Gadiformes; Gadidae
Product: small nucleolar RNA SNORA8
Source: Ensembl
AGCACUGCAGUAUCUGCAGACAGUUGCUUCGCCAACUGGUCUGUUCAAAAGUCGGUGCGAGAAGAACGCAGUAUUGGCAUCGUUGGUCUCCUUGCUGCCAGUGCUUGGAGUCCUGGUAAACUUGCUGCAACACUA